This 311-nucleotide ribosomal RNA is filed under the name uncultured eukaryote. RNAcentral's name for it is "partial 18S ribosomal RNA". It matches the Rfam family "Eukaryotic small subunit ribosomal RNA", at positions 1470 to 1796 of the family's 1831-position model. The record is from RNAcentral.
CCCCUAGACGUUCUGGGCUGCACGCGCGCUACAAUAAUACGCACAGCGAGUAUCACCGAGCUCGAAAGGGCAAGGUAAACAAUAGAAAAGGUACUGUAAUGGUUAUAGAUCCUUUUAAUUAUUGAUCUUCAACGAGGAAUUCCUAGUAAGUAUGUGUCAUCAUCACGCACUGAUUACGUCCCUGCCCUUUGUACACACCGCCCGUCGCUCCUACCGAUUGGGUGAGCCGAUGAAACUCUCGGAUGUAGGCUAUUCAUAGCCCGCAGAAGAGAUUUGAAUCGUAGCGCUUAGAGGAAGGAGAAGUCGUAACA